UAGGGANUCUUCCACAAUGGGCGAAAGCCUGAUGGAGCAACGCCGCGUGUGUGAUGAGGGCUUUAGGGUCGUAAAGCACUGUUGUAUGGGAAGAAAUGCUAGAAUAGGGAAUGAUUCUAGUUCGACGGUACCAUACCAGAAAGGGACGGCUAAAUACGUGCCAGCAGCCGCGGUAAUACGUAUGUCCCGAGCGUUAUCCGGAUUUAUUGGGCGUAAAGCGAGCGCAGACGGUUGAUUAAGUCUGAUGUGAAAGCCCGGAGCUCAACUCCGGAAUGGCAUUGGAAACUGGUUAACUUGAGUGUUGUAGAGGUAAGUGGAACUCCAUGUGUAGCGGUGGAAUGCGUAGAUAUAUGGAAGAACACCAGUGGCGAAGGCGGCUUACUGGACAACAACUGACGUUGAGGCUCGAAAGUGUGGGUAGCAAACAGGAUUAGAUACCCUGGUAGUCCACACCGUAAACGAUGAAUACUAGGUGUUAGGAGGUUUCCGCCUCUUAGUGCCGAAGCUAACGCAUUAAGUAUUCCGCCUGGGGAGUACGACCGCAAGGUUG
Molecule: ribosomal RNA, 550 nt
Filed under: uncultured bacterium
Lineage: Bacteria
Description: bacterial SSU rRNA
Rfam family: Bacterial small subunit ribosomal RNA
Source: RNAcentral